This 495-nucleotide ribosomal RNA is filed under the name uncultured bacterium. RNAcentral describes it as "partial 16S ribosomal RNA". It matches the Rfam family "Bacterial small subunit ribosomal RNA", at positions 28 to 507 of the family's 1533-position model. The record is from RNAcentral.
GACGAACGCUGGCGGCGUGCCUAAUACAUGCAAGUCGAACGCUGAAGGAGGAGCUUGCUUCUCUGGAUGAGUUGCGAACGGGUGAGUAACGCGUAGGUAACCUGCCUGGUAGCGGGGGAUAACUAUUGGAAACGAUAGCUAAUACCGCAUAAUAGUAGAUGUUGCAUGACAUUUGCUUAAAAGGUGCAAUUGCAUCACUACCAGAUGGACCUGCGUUGUAUUAGCUAGUUGGUGGGGUAACGGCUCACCAAGGCGACGAUACAUAGCCGACCUGAGAGGGGGAUCGGCCACACUGGGACUGAGACACGGCCCAGACUCCUACGGGAGGCAGCAGUAGGGAAUCUUCGGCAAUGGACGGAGGUCUGACCGAGCAACGCCGCGUGAGGGAAGAAGGUUUUCGGAUCGUAAAGCUCUGUUGUAAGAGAAGAACGAGUGUGAGAGUGGAAAGUUCACACUGUGACGGUAUCUUACCAGAAAGGGACGGCUAACUACGUG